This 486-nucleotide ribosomal RNA is filed under the name uncultured bacterium. RNAcentral's name for it is "partial small subunit ribosomal RNA". It matches the Rfam family "Bacterial small subunit ribosomal RNA", at positions 26 to 523 of the family's 1533-position model. The record is from RNAcentral.
AGGACGAACGCUGGCGGCGUGCCUAACACAUGCAAGUCGAACGCGCUCCAUUCGGUAGCAAUACUGAUGAAGAGCGAGUGGCGAACGGGUGAGUAGCACGUGAGCAACCUGCCCCGAAGACCGGGACAACACCGGGAAACCGGUGCUAAUACCGGAUAUCCCUAUCGGACCGCAUGAUCUGAUAAGGAAAUGGAUUCCGCUUCGGGAGGGGCUCGCGGCCUAUCAGCUAGUUGGUGAGGUAACGGCCCACCAAGGCAUCGACGGGUAGCUGGUCUGAGAGGACGAUCAGCCACACUGGGACUGAGACACGGCCCAGACUCCUACGGGAGGCAGCAGUGGGGAAUAUUGGACAAUGGGGGCAACCCUGAUCCAGCAAUGCCGCGUGAGUGAUGAAGGCCUUAGGGUUGUAAAGCUCUUUCGCCCGCGACGAUGAUGACGGUAGCGGGAGAAGAAGCCCGGCUAACUUCGUGCCAGCAGCCGCGGUAA